AGACUUCCCAAAGAAGGUGAUGCCGAAGCUGAGGUCGGAAAUUACGAAGAUCAGCUAUGAAGGCCUGAGGAGAGAAGACACAUAGUCAUGCUGACUAAACCAGAUCACCUAGAAUUACCAAAUGGAAAGGCAUUGUGUUAAGAAAAGGAUUGGUAGACAGAGAGAUGCACUGUUGAGAUUACCCUUCAGGAAGGACUUGCUACCGACUACAGGGGACAGGAAUCAGCAGACAUCCUCCAGCCAUCAGCUUCUUCAGGAUCUACCUCAGCGUCAAGGAACCACCUGACCUGAGGUCUCAUUCUUCCUUGGGCAGACUACAUCUUAUAACAAAGUGAGCAUCUACUUGUUUCCAAAGUUAUUUGGGUCAGCAUUUUCCUCCACCCACCACUUAAAACUGAUUUGUUUCAUACAUUUGAAAUGUAUGAAAAGCCAGAAAUCCAGGACCCACCCUGGCCUGCUCCCUUUUUCUCACCUACUGUGUUAAGGAUAAGUCAAUUGAGCUUCACUUCUCUAAUUGAAAUCACCGUGCUGAUGGAGUCUGUCUGUGGAAAUGAAAGGUGGCUACCAUAAUCUGUUGGGAGUUGAAUUAAUCCUCUGGGAGUGAGGCUGACCUAAUUACUCAGAAAUACUGGGCUUGCUUUCAUUCUGUGGAAUACAGCCAUGAGAAAGAGGCCAGCAUGCCAUUUCCUAAUCUUUUCUUGAAUUGCCUGAAACUCACCUAACAUGAAACUGAGAAGCCUUUUCAUUUGAAAGUGGUAUUUCUUAUGUUUUUUAUCUUUUUGCUUGAAAGUAUUCUUAAACUAAAGAAAGGAGAAACAGAAAAGGUGAAGAAGCCAAGAGGCUGGAGUUUCCUUUUGAAUGGAUAUUCAUCCAUGAAGCUGUUGAUUCUGUUUUUCUGUUCCUCCAGAUGUCUACACUUUUACCUCUGCUUGCCUGAUACAACCACCACCAGUCACCUCACAGAAUAACUCACUCCUUAAGAAUCUGAUCAGGAAUCAGCCUUCCCUGAUCACAAACACUGAGUUUAGAAGUCCCUCCACAGUGUCCCCCGUAACCCUGUGCUAC
RNAcentral lists this long non-coding RNA (1065 nucleotides) under Homo sapiens (human). Its description in RNAcentral is "CCDC26 long non-coding RNA". Lineage: Eukaryota; Metazoa; Chordata; Mammalia; Primates; Hominidae. The record is from RNAcentral.